This 497-nucleotide ribosomal RNA is filed under the name uncultured bacterium. RNAcentral's name for it is "partial 16S ribosomal RNA". It matches the Rfam family "Bacterial small subunit ribosomal RNA", at positions 28 to 507 of the family's 1533-position model. The record is from RNAcentral.
GAUGAACGCUGGCGGCGUGCCUAAUACAUGCAAGUCGAGCGAACGGACGAGAAGCGCGUGUCCCUGAUGUUAGCGGGGGACGGGCGAGUAACACGUGGAUAACCUACCUCUAAGACUGGGAGAACUACGGGAAGCCGCAGCUAAUACCACAUAAUAUUUUGAACCGCAUGGUUCAAAAGUGAAAGACGGUCUUGCCGACUCAUAUAGACGGAUCCGCGCUGCAUUAGCUAGUUGGUAAGGUAACGGCCUACCAAGGCAACGAUGCAUAGCCGACCUGAGAGGGUGAUCGGCCACACUGGAACUGAGACACGGUCCAGACUCCUACGGGAGGCAGCAGUAGGGAAUAUUCCGCAAUGGGCGCAAGCCUGAUGGAGCAACGCCGCGUGGGUGAAGAAGGUCUUCGGGUCGUAAAGCUCUGUUGUUGGGAAAGAACAUAUGUAUAUGUAACUGUCCACGUCCUGACGGUACCUAAAGAGUAAGCCCCGGCUAACUUCGUG